This 491-nucleotide ribosomal RNA is filed under the name uncultured bacterium. RNAcentral describes it as "bacterial SSU rRNA". It matches the Rfam family "Bacterial small subunit ribosomal RNA", at positions 15 to 507 of the family's 1533-position model. The record is from RNAcentral.
GAUCAUGGCUCAGGAUGAACGCUAGCGGCAGGCCUAACACAUGCAAGUCGAGGGGUAGAGUUCUUCGGGACUCGAGACCGGCGCACGGGUGCGUAACGCGUAUGCAAUCUACCUUAUACAGGGGAAUAGCCCAGAGAAAUUUGGAUUAAUGCCCCAUAGUGUCAUCGAAUCGCAUGGUUUGAUAACUAAAGUUCCAACGGUAUAAGAUGAGCAUGCGUCCCAUUAGUUAGUUGGUAAGGUAACGGCUUACCAAGACAAUGAUGGGUAGGGGUCCUGAGAGGGAGAUCCCCCACACUGGUACUGAGACACGGACCAGACUCCUACGGGAGGCAGCAGUGAGGAAUAUUGGUCAAUGGGCGCAAGCCUGAACCAGCCAUGCCGCGUGCAGGAAGACGGUCCUAUGGAUUGUAAACUGCUUUUAUACAGGAAGAAACCCUCCCACGUGUGGGAGCUUGACGGUACUGUAGGAAUAAGGAUCGGCUAACUCCGUG